This 325-nucleotide ribosomal RNA is filed under the name uncultured bacterium. RNAcentral's name for it is "bacterial SSU rRNA". It matches the Rfam family "Bacterial small subunit ribosomal RNA", at positions 28 to 334 of the family's 1533-position model. The record is from RNAcentral.
GAUGAACGCUGGCGGCGUGCUUAACACAUGCAAGUCGAACGGGAAAUAUUUCAUUGAGACUUCGGUGGAUUUGAUCUAUUUCUAGUGGCGGACGGGUGAGUAACGCGUGGGUAACCUGCCUUAUACAGGGGGAUAACAGUCAGAAAUGGCUGCUAAUACCGCAUAAGCGCACAGAGCUGCAUGGCUCAGUGUGUGAAAAACUCCGGUGGUGUGAGAUGGAUCCGCGUCUGAUUAGCCAGUUGGCGGGGUAACGGCCCACCAAAGCGACGAUCAGUAGCCGACCUGAGAGGGUGACCGGCCACAUUGGGACUGAGACACGGCCCAA